This 468-nucleotide ribosomal RNA is filed under the name uncultured bacterium. Its description in RNAcentral is "partial 16S ribosomal RNA". It matches the Rfam family "Bacterial small subunit ribosomal RNA", at positions 28 to 507 of the family's 1533-position model. The record is from RNAcentral.
GAUGAACGCUGACAGAAUGCUUAACACAUGCAAGUCUACUUGAAUUUGGGUUUUUUAACUUAGAUUUGGGUGGCGGACGGGUGAGUAACGCGUAAAGAACUUGCCUCACAGUUAGGGACAACAUUUGGAAACGAAUGCUAAUACCUGAUAUUAUGAAUAUAUGGCAUCAUAUAAUUAUGAAAGCUAUAAGCGCUGUGAGAGAGCUUUGCGUCCCAUUAGCUAGUUGGAGAGGUAACGGCUCACCAAGGCGAUGAUGGGUAGCCGGCCUGAGAGGAUGAACGGCCACAAGGGGACUGAGACACGGCCCUUACUCCUACGGGAGGCAGCAGUGGGGAAUAUUGGACAAUGGACCAAGAGUCUGAUCCAGCAAUUCUGUGUGCACGAUGACGUUUUUCGGAAUGUAAAGUGCUUUCAGUUGGGAAGAAAAAAAUGACGGUACCAACAGAAGAAGUGACGGCUAAAUACGUG